UGGAUCAAUGAUGGCUUUUCGGUGCGUGUAUGAGUCAUGUAUGAUGAAUACGUGUUUGGAACUCUGAGGUCCAA
This is a small nucleolar RNA of Cervus hanglu yarkandensis (Yarkand deer), 74 nucleotides long. The record is from Ensembl. Lineage: Eukaryota; Metazoa; Chordata; Mammalia; Artiodactyla; Cervidae.